UACAGAGGUCUCAAGCGUUGUUCGGAAUCACUGGGCGUAAAGGGUGCGUAGGUGGCGUGGUAAGUCAGAUGUGAAAGCCCGGGGCUCAACCUCGGAAUUGCAUCCGAUACUACCAUGCUGGAGUACUGAAGAGGUGACUAGAAUUCUCGGUGUAGCAGUGAAAUGCGUAGAUAUCGAGAGGAAUACCAACGGCGAAGGCAGGUCACUGGGCAGUUACUGACACUGAGGCACGAAGGCCAGGGGAGCAAACGGG
This 253-nucleotide ribosomal RNA is filed under the name uncultured bacterium. RNAcentral's name for it is "partial 16S ribosomal RNA". It matches the Rfam family "Bacterial small subunit ribosomal RNA", at positions 524 to 776 of the family's 1533-position model. The record is from RNAcentral.